CUUGACGCUUUGCCUGCUGGGCGCUUGCUUGGCGAUUGUUCCCUCCCCCUCUCUCCCCUCUCUCGCCGUUCUCCAGCUAGCCGCUUGCCGUGCCGCCAUCCCGCCAUGCUUUUGUUUUCCGUGAUGAGUGGCGAGCAGUGGCGUGUGCUUGCUUUGUUUAGUUCGGUUUAGUUGUGAAAAAUGGACUGUUUCGUGCUGUUAUUUCAUCAAAGUCGAAGAUUUGGACCGAAUUGGAAUGACGCAUCGCUUAAUUUGGUUUUCGACGAGUUGGACCGAGCCGCGAGAUGAAGGCGAUUGUCAGUGUCGGCGCCACCGCCAACGGCAAGCCUCCGCUGGACGACGUGAGACCAUCGAGGACAACAAACCAGCAGUCGUCAACAGGGUACUCGGAGGAGCCCAAGUUUGCGCUCGACCUCCGCCGGCGAGGGUGACACUGUGCAGACCACCACUGCGAGGUGAUCGGCGACCCCGCGCCGUCUGGCUCAGGGU
Cloeon dipterum is the source of this 489-nucleotide long non-coding RNA. RefSeq lists it as uncharacterized. Lineage: Eukaryota; Metazoa; Arthropoda; Insecta; Ephemeroptera; Baetidae. The transcript has 3 exons. The record is from RefSeq and is a predicted model, not a curated record.